Molecule: long non-coding RNA, 1253 nt
Filed under: Linum usitatissimum (flax)
Lineage: Eukaryota; Viridiplantae; Streptophyta; Magnoliopsida; Malpighiales; Linaceae
Description: long non-coding RNA (LUSI_LNC005107)
Source: RNAcentral
GAGUGGUGUCGACGAAGAAAAAGUCGGCCACGUUGGUGUUGAGGAUGAAGGAUCUGUGGCAAACCCAUCUGGAAUCUUUGUCCUGUAGGGAUGUGCUCAGUUGUGCUUCGACGUUGCCUCUGUAGUCAUGGUUCCCCAGAACUGGUAGGAAGGUAGCAGUAAGUUUACAAAUAAAUAGGUCAAAAGUGAAUAAUGCAACACUUUUGAAUGGCGGUGACUUACUGUUGUACCAGGGCUUGUGCAAGCCGGGUGCGGUAUAGAUGUCGGAGAAAGAGUGAUAGAAAGCAGGGUCAUCCACUCCUUGCAAUCCGUCGUCGUAGAAGUUAUCGCCGGUUGAUAUCACGAAAUCCACAUUUAGUUCCUCAGCAAUCUUCCCCAUCUGUGAAAAAAAUAGGAAAGAUCAAACCAGGUCAGAAAAUGCUAAGUUUAAUUUUGACCAAUUCUUAAAUCGAACCAUAUUCUCUCAAUUGUUUGAUAUCAACAAUUCGUAAUAACUACAUAAAAAAUACUAAUUAAUGUGGUGCCUGCCUGAUGUGAUAUGUGGUUGGGGCAGAUAUGGAGCUAAUUAUAACGGAUAUACCAGGAGCAGCAGACACUGUAUAUCCAUUAUCCUGUUGGUUGGAGGAGCAUAUCCAAUCUGAACUGGUAUUAUCCGCUUAUAUCUAUACUCUCCAGAUUCCCCAACUAAAAUAUUUAUUAUAUUCUUUUCUUUAAAAAAAAAAAAAAAAAGAUAAGUAAUCCCAGACAGCGAUCGUGCCAGCCAGUGGGGUCGGAGUGAACCAUUCAUUCAGAGAGUGGUUUGUCUGUGUGUUUUUCUUAAUUGCACCAGACAAAUUGAGAAAUAUAUAUAUAAUGAAAACCGGACCUACUCCUACAAUCAUACUUGAUGAAUAUUUCUGUCCUCUACCUCAUGAUUAAGAGUUGUUCCGGUGAUAUAAAGCGUGUGUUUGGUGAUUCUGAGGUUUAGGAUUCGUUAAUAUAUCUUACGAAACGAACACUAAUAUAAUAUUUAUUUCUUUUUAAAAAUCGAAUAAACCAUCAAAUUAAUAAUAAACGGACGAUGCAUUGAUAACAUAUAUUUAUUCCAUAUAAGGACUUAAAUCGUUUUUCUUGUUGAGAAAAUCAAGUUUGAGAAGACGUGCAGAUAACUGCAACUCCGACGUACGUGUCACGUUUCUGAAGAAAAACAGAAACUUAAGGAGGGAGCUUAUGAUAAGCUAAGUACGUAGCUUAGCGAGUAAGAGUAAAGGAUU